RNAcentral lists this ribosomal RNA (2903 nucleotides) under Escherichia coli. RNAcentral's name for it is "bacterial LSU rRNA". It matches the Rfam family "Bacterial large subunit ribosomal RNA". The record is from RNAcentral. Lineage: Bacteria; Pseudomonadati; Pseudomonadota; Gammaproteobacteria; Enterobacterales; Enterobacteriaceae.
UUAAGCGACUAAGCGUACACGGUGGAUGCCCUGGCAGUCAGAGGCGAUGAAGGACGUGCUAAUCUGCGAUAAGCGUCGGUAAGGUGAUAUGAACCGUUAUAACCGGCGAUUUCCGAAUGGGGAAACCCAGUGUGAUUCGUCACACUAUCAUUAACUGAAUCCAUAGGUUAAUGAGGCGAACCGGGGGAACUGAAACAUCUAAGUACCCCGAGGAAAAGAAAUCAACCGAGAUUCCCCCAGUAGCGGCGAGCGAACGGGGAGCAGCCCAGAGCCUGAAUCAGUGUGUGUGUUAGUGGAAGCGUCUGGAAAGGCGCGCGAUACAGGGUGACAGCCCCGUACACAAAAAUGCACAUGCUGUGAGCUCGAUGAGUAGGGCGGGACACGUGGUAUCCUGUCUGAAUAUGGGGGGACCAUCCUCCAAGGCUAAAUACUCCUGACUGACCGAUAGUGAACCAGUACCGUGAGGGAAAGGCGAAAAGAACCCCGGCGAGGGGAGUGAAAAAGAACCUGAAACCGUGUACGUACAAGCAGUGGGAGCCUCUUUAUGGGGUGACUGCGUACCUUUUGUAUAAUGGGUCAGCGACUUAUAUUCUGUAGCAAGGUUAACCGAAUAGGGGAGCCGAAGGGAAACCGAGUCUUAACUGGGCGUUAAGUUGCAGGGUAUAGACCCGAAACCCGGUGAUCUAGCCAUGGGCAGGUUGAAGGUUGGGUAACACUAACUGGAGGACCGAACCGACUAAUGUUGAAAAAUUAGCGGAUGACUUGUGGCUGGGGGUGAAAGGCCAAUCAAACCGGGAGAUAGCUGGUUCUCCCCGAAAGCUAUUUAGGUAGCGCCUCGUGAAUUCAUCUCCGGGGGUAGAGCACUGUUUCGGCAAGGGGGUCAUCCCGACUUACCAACCCGAUGCAAACUGCGAAUACCGGAGAAUGUUAUCACGGGAGACACACGGCGGGUGCUAACGUCCGUCGUGAAGAGGGAAACAACCCAGACCGCCAGCUAAGGUCCCAAAGUCAUGGUUAAGUGGGAAACGAUGUGGGAAGGCCCAGACAGCCAGGAUGUUGGCUUAGAAGCAGCCAUCAUUUAAAGAAAGCGUAAUAGCUCACUGGUCGAGUCGGCCUGCGCGGAAGAUGUAACGGGGCUAAACCAUGCACCGAAGCUGCGGCAGCGACGCUUAUGCGUUGUUGGGUAGGGGAGCGUUCUGUAAGCCUGCGAAGGUGUACUGUGAGGUAUGCUGGAGGUAUCAGAAGUGCGAAUGCUGACAUAAGUAACGAUAAAGCGGGUGAAAAGCCCGCUCGCCGGAAGACCAAGGGUUCCUGUCCAACGUUAAUCGGGGCAGGGUGAGUCGACCCCUAAGGCGAGGCCGAAAGGCGUAGUCGAUGGGAAACAGGUUAAUAUUCCUGUACUUGGUGUUACUGCGAAGGGGGGACGGAGAAGGCUAUGUUGGCCGGGCGACGGUUGUCCCGGUUUAAGCGUGUAGGCUGGUUUUCCAGGCAAAUCCGGAAAAUCAAGGCUGAGGCGUGAUGACGAGGCACUACGGUGCUGAAGCAACAAAUGCCCUGCUUCCAGGAAAAGCCUCUAAGCAUCAGGUAACAUCAAAUCGUACCCCAAACCGACACAGGUGGUCAGGUAGAGAAUACCAAGGCGCUUGAGAGAACUCGGGUGAAGGAACUAGGCAAAAUGGUGCCGUAACUUCGGGAGAAGGCACGCUGAUAUGUAGGUGAAGUCCCUCGCGGAUGGAGCUGAAAUCAGUCGAAGAUACCAGCUGGCUGCAACUGUUUAUUAAAAACACAGCACUGUGCAAACACGAAAGUGGACGUAUACGGUGUGACGCCUGCCCGGUGCCGGAAGGUUAAUUGAUGGGGUUAGCGGUAACGCGAAGCUCUUGAUCGAAGCCCCGGUAAACGGCGGCCGUAACUAUAACGGUCCUAAGGUAGCGAAAUUCCUUGUCGGGUAAGUUCCGACCUGCACGAAUGGCGUAAUGAUGGCCAGGCUGUCUCCACCCGAGACUCAGUGAAAUUGAACUCGCUGUGAAGAUGCAGUGUACCCGCGGCAAGACGGAAAGACCCCGUGAACCUUUACUAUAGCUUGACACUGAACAUUGAGCCUUGAUGUGUAGGAUAGGUGGGAGGCUUUGAAGUGUGGACGCCAGUCUGCAUGGAGCCGACCUUGAAAUACCACCCUUUAAUGUUUGAUGUUCUAACGUUGGCCCCUAAUCGGGGUUGCGGACAGUGUCUGGUGGGUAGUUUGACUGGGGCGGUCUCCUCCUAAAGAGUAACGGAGGAGCACGAAGGUUGGCUAAUCCUGGUCGGACAUCAGGAGGUUAGUGCAAUGGCAUAAGCCAGCUUGACUGCGAGCGUGACGGCGCGAGCAGGUGCGAAAGCAGGUCAUAGUGAUCCGGUGGUUCUGAAUGGAAGGGCCAUCGCUCAACGGAUAAAAGGUACUCCGGGGAUAACAGGCUGAUACCGCCCAAGAGUUCAUAUCGACGGCGGUGUUUGGCACCUCGAUGUCGGCUCAUCACAUCCUGGGGCUGAAGUAGGUCCCAAGGGUAUGGCUGUUCGCCAUUUAAAGUGGUACGCGAGCUGGGUUUAGAACGUCGUGAGACAGUUCGGUCCCUAUCUGCCGUGGGCGCUGGAGAACUGAGGGGGGCUGCUCCUAGUACGAGAGGACCGGAGUGGACGCAUCACUGGUGUUCGGGUUGUCAUGCCAAUGGCACUGCCCGGUAGCUAAAUGCGGAAGAGAUAAGUGCUGAAAGCAUCUAAGCACGAAACUUGCCCCGAGAUGAGUUCUCCCUGACUCCCUGAGAGUCCUGAAGGAACGUUGAAGACGACGACGUUGAUAGGCCGGGUGUGUAAGCGCAGCGAUGCGUUGAGCUAACCGGUACUAAUGAACCGUGAGGCUUAACCUU